GCCGGCGUAGCUCAGUGGUGGAGCGAUUGCUUCAUAAGCAAGAGGUCGUUGGUCCGAAUCCAACCGUCGGCA
RNAcentral lists this transfer RNA (72 nucleotides) under Candidatus Nealsonbacteria bacterium CG02_land_8_20_14_3_00_37_10. RNAcentral's name for it is "tRNA-Met". It matches the Rfam family "tRNA". Rfam says of the family: Transfer RNA (tRNA) molecules are approximately 80 nucleotides in length. Lineage: Bacteria; Candidatus Nealsoniibacteriota. RNAcentral also lists the same sequence under 1 other name. The record is from RNAcentral.